RNAcentral lists this ribosomal RNA (492 nucleotides) under uncultured bacterium. Its description in RNAcentral is "partial 16S ribosomal RNA". It matches the Rfam family "Bacterial small subunit ribosomal RNA", at positions 29 to 507 of the family's 1533-position model. The record is from RNAcentral.
AGUGAACGCUGGCGGUAGGCCUAACACAUGCAAGUCGAACGGCAGCACAGUAAGAGCUUGCUCUUACGGGUGGCGAGUGGCGGACGGGUGAGGAAUACAUCGGAAUCUACUUUUUCGUGGGGGAUAACGUAGGAAAACUUACGCUAAUACCGCAUCCGACCUACGGGUGAAAGCAGGGGAUCUUCGGACCUUGCGCGAUUGAAUGAGCCGAUGUCGGAUUAGCUAGUUGGCGGGGUAAAGGCCCACCAAGGCGACGAUCCGUAGCUGGUCUGAGAGGAUGAUCAGCCACACUGGAACUGAGACACGGUCCAGACUCCUACGGGAGGCAGCAGUGGGGAAUAUUGGACAAUGGGCGCAAGCCUGAUCCAGCCAUACCGCGUGGGUGAAGAAGGCCUUCGGGUUGUAAAGCCCUUUUGUUGGGAAAGAAAAGCAGUAGGUUAAUACCCCGCUGUUCUGACGGUACCCAAAGAAGAAGCACCGGCUAACUUCGUG